CCCACAGAACCUCUCCCUGUACUUCUCGCCUGUCUUCAUCACGCCUGACGUGCUACUCGGGCGGAAGGACAAACAGCUCCUGGUGCCUGCACAGACGCUCGCCUCCG
Molecule: non-coding RNA, 107 nt
Filed under: Haptolina brevifila
Lineage: Eukaryota; Haptophyta; Prymnesiales; Prymnesiaceae
Source: RNAcentral